GACGAACGCUGGCGGCGUGCUUAACACAUGCAAGUCGAACGGAAAGGCCCUGCUUUUGUGGGGUGCUCGAGUGGCGAACGGGUGAGUAACACGAGUAACCUGCCCUUGACUUUGGGAUAACUUCAGGAAACUGGGGCUAAUACCGGAUAGGAGCUCCUGCUGCAUGGUGGGGGUUGGAAAGUUUCGGCGGUUGGGGAUGGACUCGCGGCUUAUCAGCUUGUUGGUGGGGUAGUGGCUUACCAAGGCUUUGACGGGUAGCCGGCCUGAGAGGGUGACCGGCCACAUUGGGACUGAGAUACGGCCCAGACUCCUACGGGAGGCAGCAGUGGGGAAUAUUGCACAAUGGGCGGAAGCCUGAUGCAGCAACGCCGCGUGCGGGAUGACGGCCUUCGGGUUGUAAACCGCUUUCGCCUGUGACGAAGCGUGAGUGACGGUAAUGGGUAAAGAAGCACCGGCUAACUACGUG
RNAcentral lists this ribosomal RNA (466 nucleotides) under uncultured bacterium. RNAcentral's name for it is "partial 16S ribosomal RNA". It matches the Rfam family "Bacterial small subunit ribosomal RNA", at positions 28 to 507 of the family's 1533-position model. The record is from RNAcentral.